CAACAGGGAUUGCCCUAGUAACGGCGAGUGAAGCGGCAUCAGCUCAAAUUUGAAAUCUGGCUCUUUCAGGGUCCGAGUUGUAAUUUGCAGAGGGCGCUUUGGUGUUGGCAGCGGUCCAAGUUCCUUGGAACAGGACGUCACAGAGGGUGAGAAUCCCGUACGUGGUCGCUGGCCUUCGCCGUGUAAAGCCCCUUCGACGAGUCGAGUUGUUUGGGAAUGCAGCUCUAAAUGGGAGGUAAAUUUCUUCUAAAGCUAAAUACUGGCCAGAGACCGAUAGCGCACAAGUAGAGUGAUCGAAAGAUGAAAAGCACUUUGGAAAGAGAGUCAAAUAGCACGUGAAAUUGUUGAAAGGGAAGCGCUUGCAGCCAGACUUGCCUGUAGUUGCUCAUCUAGGCUCUUUGCCUAGUGCACUCUUCUGCGGGCAGGCCAGCAUCAGUCUAGGCGGUUGGAUAAAGGCCUCUGUCAUGUACCUCCUCUCGGGGAGGCCUUAUAGGGGAGGCGUAAUGCAACCAGCCUGGACUGAGGUCCGCGCAUCUGCUAGGAUGCUGGCGUAAUGGCUGUAAGCGGCCCGUCUUGAAACACGGACCAAGGAGUCUAACAUCUAUGCGAGUGUUUGGGUGUCAAGCCCGAGCGCGUAAUGAAAGUGAACGGAGGUGGGAUCCCUUUAGGGUGCACCAUCGACCGAUCCUGAUGUCUUCGGAUGGAUUUGAGUAAGAGCAUGGCUGUUGGGACCCGAAAGAUGGUGAACUAUGCUUGAAUAGGGUGAAGCCAGAGGAAACUCUGGUGGAGGCUCGCAGCGGUUCUGACGUGCAAAUCGAUCGUCAAAUUUGGGCAUAGGGGCGAAAGACUAAUCGAAC
RNAcentral lists this ribosomal RNA (857 nucleotides) under Neocucurbitaria cava. RNAcentral's name for it is "eukaryotic LSU rRNA". It matches the Rfam family "Eukaryotic large subunit ribosomal RNA", at positions 66 to 940 of the family's 3401-position model. The record is from RNAcentral. Lineage: Eukaryota; Fungi; Ascomycota; Dothideomycetes; Pleosporales; Cucurbitariaceae.